RNAcentral lists this ribosomal RNA (497 nucleotides) under uncultured bacterium. RNAcentral's name for it is "partial 16S ribosomal RNA". It matches the Rfam family "Bacterial small subunit ribosomal RNA", at positions 28 to 507 of the family's 1533-position model. The record is from RNAcentral.
GACGAACGCUGGCGGCGUGCCUAAUACAUGCAAGUCGAGCGAACAGACGAGGAGCUUGCUCCUCUGACGUUAGCGGCGGACGGGAGAGUAACACGUGGAUAACCCACCUAUAAGACUGGGAUAAUCUCGGGAAACCGGAGCUAAUACCGGAUAAUCUAUUGCACCGCAGGGUUCAAUAGUAAAAUACGGCUUUGGUGUCACGUAUAGCUGGUUCCGCGCCGCAUUGGCUAGUUGGUGAGUUAACAGCUUACCAAGGCAACGAUGCGUAGCCGACGGGUGGGGGGGGUCGGCCACCUUGGAACGGAGCCAGCGUCCAGAGUACUACGGGAGGGAGCAGUAGGGAAUGUGACGCAAUAGGCGAAAGCAUGACGGAGCAACGCCGAGUGAGUGGUGGAGGUGUUCGGAGCGUAAAAAUCUGUUAUUAGGGAAGAACAAAUGUGUAAGUAGCUGUGCACGUAUUGACGGUAACUAAUAAGAAAGCAACGGCUAACUACGUG